CCGUGAUGCCGGGCCCCUCUGGCGGUUAACACCGCGAUGUCGGAAUCACAGU
This is a non-coding RNA of Pseudomonas sp. EGD-AK9, 52 nucleotides long. Lineage: Bacteria; Pseudomonadati; Pseudomonadota; Gammaproteobacteria; Pseudomonadales; Pseudomonadaceae. The record is from Rfam.